This is an RNA transcript of Micropterus salmoides (largemouth bass), 3523 nucleotides long. It is a transcript of the gene named branched chain keto acid dehydrogenase E1 subunit beta, with no coding region annotated. The transcript is spliced from 10 exons. The record is from RefSeq and is a predicted model, not a curated record. NCBI's taxonomy places the organism in Eukaryota, Metazoa, Chordata, Actinopteri, Centrarchiformes, Centrarchidae.
AUCUUGCCCUUCCUGGUCGGCCAUAACAACAACGAUGGCGGCUGCUGCACGGUUCUUCAUCCGAGGUGCACACUCGAGGCUUUCCAUCUCCGGUGUUGGCACCGGGGUGCAGAGCUGCUUUGGCGCCACUCUGCUGAAACUGUCGCCGAGCUGCAGCUCCCGGACAAAAGCACAACGAAGACAUGCCACGCACUUUACCUUCCAGCCUGACCCCGUCUCGACACAAUAUGGACCCACCCAGAAGAUGAACUUGUUCCAGUCAAUUACAAGUGCCUUGGACAACACUCUCGCCAGUGAUCCAACAGCAGUCAUCUUUGGGGAAGAUGUUGCCUUUGGUGGAGUAUUCCGAUGCACAGUGGGUCUGAGAGACAAAUAUGGUAAGGACAGAGUUUUUAACACUCCCCUUUGUGAGCAGGGGAUUGUGGGAUUUGGUAUUGGUGUAGCUGUUGCUGGUGCCACAGCCAUUGCUGAGAUCCAGUUUGCUGACUACAUCUUUCCUGCUUUUGACCAGAUAGUCAAUGAAGCAGCCAAGUAUCGCUACCGCUCUGGCAACUUGUUCGACUGCGGCAACCUCACCAUUCGGGCUCCGUGGGGGUGUGUCGGCCACGGAUCACUUUACCACUCUCAAAGCCCUGAGUCCUUCUUCGCCCACUGCCCUGGCAUCAAGGUUGUGAUACCUCGUGGUCCAGUGCAGGCCAAAGGGCUGCUCCUCUCCUGCAUUGCUGACCAGAACCCCUGCAUAUUCUUUGAGCCCAAGAUUCUGUACAGAGCAGCAGUGGAGCAGGUUCCUGUGGAGCCCUACACCAUCCCACUUUCGCAGGCAGAGAUCCUACAGGAAGGAAGUGAUGUCACUCUUGUUGCCUGGGGGACACAGAUCCAUGUGAUGAGGGAGGUGGCCAAUAUGGCGCAAGAGAAACUGGGAGUGUCGUGCGAGCUCAUCGAUCUACAGACCAUCCUGCCCUGGGAUGUUGAAGCAGUUUGUAAGGUUUUCCAGACUCCACAUCCGGCCAGUGAGGAAUUAGAGGCUCGGCAGGGCCUGUCCGUAAUACAGUCAUUGGUUCUUUAACCACGAUUGGACACAGUACUCCCACAGCACCACAUACAAGUCCUGCUGGGCAACAGCUCAUCCACCCAGGAAACCUUAUGGACCCCCCCCUUCCCCUCAAGGAUUUUCUACUUACUAACUGGAUCUUUGCCCACCUUUAUCCCUCCUUGGCUGUCACUUUGGAUCAAGUCAAGUUGGAGCAAAAGGAACAUGUGAUCUGAAUUAUUUCACAUGUAACCCAUAUAUGGUAACUUGCGCAGUGGCCGUUGGAUUGCUUGGUUCCUGGUAUUGCUGCUUGCAGUGUUGUCGGGGGGAGUGCCAGUUCUGAGCGAGCCGAUUGCUUGAACAUGGAACUGCUGCUUGUAGCAUUGUCGAGGACCGCGAUAUGGCUGCCCGCUCCUGUCGACUUCACACUCAACACGGCACUCCAAUGGGUCUUCAGCAAUCCACCCACCAAGUGGAGUCAAUCAGAUGAACUCAAGAUAUGCACAUACACAUACAUAUAAACGGACAGAUUCUUUCCUUUAUAGACUUAUAAUGCUGAUAGAGUGCCACUUAUUUGGCCAAAUGGACAUAUCUACACAUGUCUACUAAAUGUGGUUGCAAUGGUACAGAGCUUUUAGGAGAUAUGACAUUUUUUUGUAAUAUAAGCAAUUUUAAAUUCAAAAUCUGGUGACGAUGGCUCAAAAUUACAGUAGCGAAAAAACUGCAAAUUAUUGGCACACAAUCAACAUACAUGCAAAUGGGCUGAACGAUGUGCAAAAAAUUAUAAUUUUGCAUUAUCUUGACAGAUAUUGCUAUGGUGAUAUAAAUCACAAUUUUAGUGGCAAUGGUAAUAUUUGCAAAAAUGAAAAACAAUGAUGUGGUGAUUUUUUUUAUUUUUUUUAUUUUUUUUGCUAUGGUCUGUACCAAACUACGUAGCAUGUUCCCAUGUCUGGUGAAGACGAUUUUUAAGCCCUGACAUCUCUGUAGUGCCAUAAGGCUUCAUUUAUAUAAUGGUAUGUUGUGACACAUUUAAGUUAUUUCAAAAAUCGCUGCUCCUACGAUUUGGAAAUUGCUCUUGGCAGUGUUUCGAUUUCCAUUAAUUGUUCAGCCCUAAUGGGCGUAGCUUAUAUGGAUCGAAUUGUCCACAGAAUCCAGGAAAGACUUAUUAUACCACUACCAUCUGGUCAAAUUGCACCAAAUUUGACACUCCCCUGGGUCCUCAGCACCAUACCAAGUGUGAAGUGGCCUGGAUGAACAGUUGCCGAGAAAAUAGAAGGAUGUACGGACGGAGAUUCCUUAUCCUUAUUUUUAGAUGCUUUUUUGUGAAAAGUCAGAUGAGGUUGUACCAUUGACGUUGUUCCAUUUGUUUCUGGUGCCUCCGCUGCCAGACUUGGGUAAAAAAGCCUGCAGGUGAGUCGGCAGAUUAGUUGAGUAUCACUCUUGAUCAGCAUUUUCCUGUGCUGAAAGCGAGCUGUGCAUUAUUGCACACCAUUCCCACAACUGACCAGAGCUGAAAGCAUACUUUCCUUCUUUUUCUGAUGAAUGUAUUCAACUAGUCCACUUUACAUAACUAAUACUUUUUGACAUCAAGAUGUAGUAGGCCAACAGUCUGUCACUGUAAGGAGUGGUCACAUCUUGUGGGGGGAUAAAGCUGUUUUUAUUUAUUGGUAUCUCUUUGUUACUCGCGGCGCUCAAAGCUGGGUCUGUUCCUAAUAUCUUUGCCAUUCUCACUCUCUAAGUGUUGUUGGACACAUCCUACAGAUGUUUGUUCAUUUCAACCACUGGGAGUAAGUAAGUCUUUGCACAUCCUUUUUAGCAAGUCUGUGCUAGCCUGUGAGUUUGCAAGUCCCAUCUGAUCCUAUAAAAGACCUGAAGUCAUACUCCAUCCAAAAUCUGUCUUAUGAGUAUUAAACACUCUCUCAGCCUCUGUGGGCUUUAAAGGUGGAUGUAAAAUGUUUUAGUUUGCUCCUUCUCGAACAUUGGCUGUGGCUGGGUUGAAUUCUUGUUUGUCCAUGUCUAUCAUAAUUCAUAUCUCUGCUGUCCUCCUGUAUAAUUAGACUGUGACCUUGUUUACUCAGCAUGCAAGGGUCUGGCAGGGUAAAAGUAGUCAGGAAGACCCCCUGUGUGGAAUUCUGUGAGGUAUCUAGACCUUUGAUGAAGACUUCAUGCAGAGAAGAUGGAUUGAAAAAUGAGAAUUCAUGUGUUAAAAUGGCUGUAUGAAUGGAUCCAUUUUCAAUUACAUACUAUUGGUGACAACAGCUUUGUGUUAGGAACACUGUGGCUGCGUGACUUCUGUCGUGUAUCCCUACACAACACCACAGCAAUGAACAUGUGGCCUGCAAACACAAAGAGGGCAGUAACUUUGAAUUUGCAAGAUCAGAUGCAGAAGCAUCAUAUUAUUCACACUGUAUUAAAAUGGUGUGUGUGUAUGUUUUUGAUUUCCAUGAGCUGAAAGCCAUAAUCAAUAUUAAAACAAAAAAUGUUUCAAAUAUU